GGCUGGUCCGAAGGUAGUGAGAUCUCACAACGAUUGCUUACAGUCAAUUACUGGUCGACCUAUUUGUCUACCCCCCCCCUCACUGCUGCACUUGACUAGUCUUUA
Molecule: Y RNA, 105 nt
Filed under: Echinops telfairi (small Madagascar hedgehog)
Lineage: Eukaryota; Metazoa; Chordata; Mammalia; Afrosoricida; Tenrecidae
Description: Y RNA (ENSETEG00000021710.1)
Rfam family: Y RNA
About the family: Y RNAs are components of the Ro ribonucleoprotein particle (Ro RNP), in association with Ro60 and La proteins. The Y RNAs and Ro60 and La proteins are well conserved, but the function of the Ro RNP is not known.
Source: RNAcentral